RNAcentral lists this ribosomal RNA (253 nucleotides) under uncultured bacterium. Its description in RNAcentral is "partial 16S ribosomal RNA". It matches the Rfam family "Bacterial small subunit ribosomal RNA", at positions 524 to 776 of the family's 1533-position model. The record is from RNAcentral.
UACGUAGGGUGCAAGCGUUGUCCGGAAUUAUUGGGCGUAAAGAGCUCGUAGGCGGUCUGUCGCGUCUGUUGUGAAAACUCAGGGCUUAACCCUGAGCUUGCAGUGGGUACGGGCAGACUAGAGUGCGGUAGGGGAGACUGGAAUUCCUGGUGUAGCGGUGAAAUGCGCAGAUAUCAGGAGGAACACCGGUGGCGAAGGCGGGUCUCUGGGCCGUAACUGACGCUGAGGAGCGAAAGCAUGGGGAGCGAACAGG